GCUGGAGUUGCUAGUAACCGCGAAUCAGCAUGUCGCGGUGAAUACGUUCCCGGGCCUUGUACACACCGCCCGUCACACCAUGAGAGUUGGCAAUACCCAACGUACGUGAUCUAACCCGCAAGGGAGGAAGCGUCCUAAGGUAGGGUCAGCGAUUGGGGUGAAGUCGUAACAAGGUAUC
RNAcentral lists this ribosomal RNA (178 nucleotides) under uncultured bacterium. RNAcentral's name for it is "partial 16S ribosomal RNA". It matches the Rfam family "Bacterial small subunit ribosomal RNA", at positions 1325 to 1500 of the family's 1533-position model. The record is from RNAcentral.